AGUGAACGCUGGCGGCAGGCCUAACACAUGCAAGUCGAACGGCAGCACAAUAAGCGUUCGCCCUUAAGGGUGGCGACUGGCGGGCGGGUGAGGAAUACAUCAGCUACCACUAUUACUUGGAGGACAACGUAGGGAAACUGACGCUACUACCGCAUAUAUCCAACGGCAUGGAUCAGGAGUGAAAGACACCUUUCCUGUCACAAAUAGACGAAGCCGCAUUAGCUAGUUGGUGAGGUAAGGGCCUACCAAGGCGACGAUCCGUAGCUGACCUGAGAGGAUGAUCGGCCACACUGGAACUGAGACACGGUCCAGACUCCUACGGGAGGCAGCAGUGGGGAAUCUUCGACAAUGGGCGAAAGCCUGACCCAGCCAUGCCGCGUGAGUGAUGAAGGUCUUCGGGUUGUAAAGCCCUUUUAUUGGGAAAGAAAAACUGCGGAAGAAUACCCGGCUGUUCUGACGGUACCUAAACAGAAAGCACCGGCUAACUACGUG
This 492-nucleotide ribosomal RNA is filed under the name uncultured bacterium. Its description in RNAcentral is "partial 16S ribosomal RNA". It matches the Rfam family "Bacterial small subunit ribosomal RNA", at positions 29 to 507 of the family's 1533-position model. The record is from RNAcentral.